This is a non-coding RNA of Podarcis lilfordi (Lilford's wall lizard), 74 nucleotides long. The record is from the annotation of a GenBank genome assembly. Lineage: Eukaryota; Metazoa; Chordata; Lepidosauria; Squamata; Lacertidae.
GUCUGGGAUAGCUCACUUGGUAAAGCAUGAGACUCUUAAUAUCAGGGCCAUAGGUUUGAGUCCCACGUUGGGCA